This 73-nucleotide transfer RNA is filed under the name Pseudomonadota bacterium. Its description in RNAcentral is "tRNA-Arg". It matches the Rfam family "tRNA". Rfam says of the family: Transfer RNA (tRNA) molecules are approximately 80 nucleotides in length. Their secondary structure includes four short double-helical elements and three loops (D, anti-codon, and T loops). Further hydrogen bonds mediate the characteristic L-shaped molecular structure. tRNAs have two regions of fundamental functional importance: the anti-codon, which is responsible for specific mRNA codon recognition, and the 3' end, to which the tRNAs corresponding amino acid is attached (by aminoacyl-tRNA synthetases). tRNAs cope with the degeneracy of the genetic code in two manners: having more than one tRNA (with a specific anti-codon) for a particular amino acid; and 'wobble' base-pairing, i.e. permitting non-standard base-pairing at the 3rd anti-codon position. Lineage: Bacteria; Pseudomonadati; Pseudomonadota. RNAcentral also lists the same sequence under 1 other name. The record is from RNAcentral.
GUCCCUGUAGCUCAAUGGAUAGAGCAGUCCCCUUCUAAGGGAAAGGUUGAGAGUUCGACUCUCUCCAGGGACA